AUGUAGUGGGAUAGUGUAAGAUAUAGAGGUGAUGUAGUGGGAUAGUGUAAGAUAUAGAGGUGAUGUAGUGGGAUAGUGUAAGAUCUAGAGGUGAUGUAGUGGGAUAGUGUAAGAUCUAUAUGUGAUGUAGUGGGAUAGUGUAAGAUCUAUAUGUGAUGUAGUGGGAUAGUGUAAGAUCUAUAUGUGAUGUAGUGGGAUAGUGUAAGAUCUAUAUGUGAUGUAGUGGGAUAGUGUAAGAUCUAGGGGUGAUGUAGUGGGUUAGUGUAAGAUCUAUAUGUGAUGUAGUGGGAUAGUGUAAGAUCUAUAUGUGAUGUAGUGGGAUAGUGUAAGAUCUAUACGUGAUGUAGUGGGAUUG
This is a long non-coding RNA of Pecten maximus, 355 nucleotides long. RefSeq lists it as uncharacterized. Lineage: Eukaryota; Metazoa; Mollusca; Bivalvia; Pectinida; Pectinidae. The record is from RefSeq and is a predicted model, not a curated record. The transcript has 3 exons.